UACGGGGGGGGCAAGCGUUGUUCGGAAUUACUGGGCGUAAAGGGUUCGUAGGUGGCUCGCUAAGUCAGACGUGAAAUCCCUCAGCUUAACUGGGGAACUGCGUCUGAGACUGGCGAGCUUGAGUGCAGGAGAGGAACGCGGAAUUCCAGGUGUAGCGGUGAAAUGCGUAGAUAUCUGGAGGAACACCGGUGGCGAAGGCGGCGUUCUGGACUGCAACUGACACUGAGGAACGAAAGCCAGGGUAGCAAACGGG
This 253-nucleotide ribosomal RNA is filed under the name uncultured bacterium. RNAcentral's name for it is "partial 16S ribosomal RNA". It matches the Rfam family "Bacterial small subunit ribosomal RNA", at positions 524 to 776 of the family's 1533-position model. The record is from RNAcentral.